GUCACCAAAGUCGCGAUCUGAAAGAGACGUCUCUUUCAGGAAGGGCAAUGCGGGUUCGACUCCCGCUCGUGACA
RNAcentral lists this transfer RNA (74 nucleotides) under Oryza sativa (Asian cultivated rice). Its description in RNAcentral is "tRNA-Leu". Lineage: Eukaryota; Viridiplantae; Streptophyta; Magnoliopsida; Poales; Poaceae. RNAcentral also lists the same sequence under 2 other names. The record is from RNAcentral.